Molecule: ribosomal RNA, 2724 nt
Filed under: Escherichia coli
Lineage: Bacteria; Pseudomonadati; Pseudomonadota; Gammaproteobacteria; Enterobacterales; Enterobacteriaceae
Description: partial 23S ribosomal RNA
Rfam family: Bacterial large subunit ribosomal RNA
Source: RNAcentral
GGGUUGUGAGGUUAAGCGACUAAGCGUACACGGUGGAUGCCCUGGCAGUCAGAGGCGAUGAAGGACGUGCUAAUCUGCGAUAAGCGUCGGUAAGGUGAUAUGAACCGUUAUAACCGGCGAUUUCCGAAUGGGGAAACCCAGUGUGAUUCGUCACACUAUCAUUAACUGAAUCCAUAGGUUAAUGAGGCGAACCGGGGGAACUGAAACAUCUAAGUACCCCGAGGAAAAGAAAUCAACCGAGAUUCCCCCAGUAGCGGCGAGCGAACGGGGAGCAGCCCAGAGCCUGAAUCAGUGUGUGUGUUAGUGGAAGCGUCUGGAAAGGCGCGCGAUACAGGGUGACAGCCCCGUACACAAAAAUGCACAUGCUGUGAGCUCGAUGAGUAGGGCGGGACACGUGGUAUCCUGUCUGAAUAUGGGGGGACCAUCCUCCAAGGCUAAAUACUCCUGACUGACCGAUAGUGAACCAGUACCGUGAGGGAAAGGCGAAAAGAACCCCGGCGAGGGGAGUGAAAAAGAACCUGAAACCGUGUACGUACAAGCAGUGGGAGCCUCUUUAUGGGGUGACUGCGUACCUUUUGUAUAAUGGGUCAGCGACUUAUAUUCUGUAGCAAGGUUAACCGAAUAGGGGAGCCGAAGGGAAACCGAGUCUUAACUGGGCGUUAAGUUGCAGGGUAUAGACCCGAAACCCGGUGAUCUAGCCAUGGGCAGGUUGAAGGUUGGGUAACACUAACUGGAGGACCGAACCGACUAAUGUUGAAAAAUUAGCGGAUGACUUGUGGCUGGGGGUGAAAGGCCAAUCAAACCGGGAGAUAGCUGGUUCUCCCCGAAAGCUAUUUAGGUAGCGCCUCGUGAAUUCAUCUCCGGGGGUAGAGCACUGUUUCGGCAAGGGGGUCAUCCCGACUUACCAACCCGAUGCAAACUGCGAAUACCGGAGAAUGUUAUCACGGGAGACACACGGCGGGUGCUAACGUCCGUCGUGAAGAGGGAAACAACCCAGACCGCCAGCUAAGGUCCCAAAGUCAUGGUUAAGUGGGAAACGAUGUGGGAAGGCCCAGACAGCCAGGAUGUUGGCUUAGAAGCAGCCAUCAUUUAAAGAAAGCGUAAUAGCUCACUGGUCGAGUCGGCCUGCGCGGAAGAUGUAACGGGGCUAAACCAUGCACCGAAGCUGCGGCAGCGACGCUUAUGCGUUGUUGGGUAGGGGAGCGUUCUGUAAGCCUGUGAAGGUGUGCUGUGAGGCAUGCUGGAGGUAUCAGAAGUGCGAAUGCUGACAUAAGUAACGAUAAAGCGGGUGAAAAGCCCGCUCGCCGGAAGACCAAGGGUUCCUGUCCAACGUUAAUCGGGGCAGGGUGAGUCGACCCCUAAGGCGAGGCCGAAAGGCGUAGUCGAUGGGAAACAGGUUAAUAUUCCUGUACUUGGUGUUACUGCGAAGGGGGGACGGAGAAGGCUAUGUUGGCCGGGCGACGGUUGUCCCGGUUUAAGCGUGUAGGCUGGUUUUCCAGGCAAAUCCGGAAAAUCAAGGCUGAGGCGUGAUGACGAGGCACUACGGUGCUGAAGCAACAAAUGCCCUGCUUCCAGGAAAAGCCUCUAAGCAUCAGGUAACAUCAAAUCGUACCCCAAACCGACACAGGUGGUCAGGUAGAGAAUACCAAGGCGCUUGAGAGAACUCGGGUGAAGGAACUAGGCAAAAUGGUGCCGUAACUUCGGGAGAAGGCACGCUGAUAUGUAGGUGAGGUCCCUCGCGGAUGGAGCUGAAAUCAGUCGAAGAUACCAGCUGGCUGCAACUGUUUAUUAAAAACACAGCACUGUGCAAACACGAAAGUGGACGUAUACGGUGUGACGCCUGCCCGGUGCCGGAAGGUUAAUUGAUGGGGUUAGCGGUAACGCGAAGCUCUUGAUCGAAGCCCCGGUAAACGGCGGCCGUAACUAUAACGGUCCUAAGGUAGCGAAAUUCCUUGUCGGGUAAGUUCCGACCUGCACGAAUGGCGUAAUGAUGGCCAGGCUGUCUCCACCCGAGACUCAGUGAAAUUGAACUCGCUGUGAAGAUGCAGUGUACCCGCGGCAAGACGGAAAGACCCCGUGAACCUUUACUAUAGCUUGACACUGAACAUUGAGCCUUGAUGUGUAGGAUAGGUGGGAGGCUUUGAAGUGUGGACGCCAGUCUGCAUGGAGCCGACCUUGAAAUACCACCCUUUAAUGUUUGAUGUUCUAACGUUGACCCGUAAUCCGGGUUGCGGACAGUGUCUGGUGGGUAGUUUGACUGGGGCGGUCUCCUCCUAAAGAGUAACGGAGGAGCACGAAGGUUGGCUAAUCCUGGUCGGACAUCAGGAGGUUAGUGCAAUGGCAUAAGCCAGCUUGACUGCGAGCGUGACGGCGCGAGCAGGUGCGAAAGCAGGUCAUAGUGAUCCGGUGGUUCUGAAUGGAAGGGCCAUCGCUCAACGGAUAAAAGGUACUCCGGGGAUAACAGGCUGAUACCGCCCAAGAGUUCAUAUCGACGGCGGUGUUUGGCACCUCGAUGUCGGCUCAUCACAUCCUGGGGCUGAAGUAGGUCCCAAGGGUAUGGCUGUUCGCCAUUUAAAGUGGUACGCGAGCUGGGUUUAGAACGUCGUGAGACAGUUCGGUCCCUAUCUGCCGUGGGCGCUGGAGAACUGAGGGGGGCUGCUCCUAGUACGAGAGGACCGGAGUGGACGCAUCACUGGUGUUCGGGUUGUCAUGCCAAUGGCACUG